CAAAAGAUAGUUUAAUAAAGAUUCCGGCUUUGGGGGUCGGAGAUAAGGGUUUGAGUCUCUUUCUUUUGA
RNAcentral lists this transfer RNA (69 nucleotides) under Astrochelys yniphora (Madagascan plowshare tortoise). RNAcentral's name for it is "tRNA-Pro". It matches the Rfam family "tRNA". From Rfam's summary of the family: Transfer RNA (tRNA) molecules are approximately 80 nucleotides in length. Lineage: Eukaryota; Metazoa; Chordata; Testudines; Testudinidae. The record is from RNAcentral.